GUGGGUCAACCUUUUUGGGCGGAGGAGGGUCCGCCUUUUUGGGCGGAGGUGGGUCCGCCUUUUUGGGCGGAGGUGGAUCGGCUGCCUUUUGGGGCGGAGGAGGGUCGGCGGCUUUACUGGGUGGUGGUGUGUCGGCCUUUUUGGGGGGUGGGGGAUCGGCUUUUUUGGGAGGCGGAGGAUCAACCUUUUGAGGUGGGGGUGGAUCAGGUUUUUUGGAAGGGGGAGGAUCGACUUUUUUGGGUGGUGGAGGAUCGGCGGGCUUGGGCGGAGGAGGCUUGGGAGGUUCAGGCUCUUUGAUUUCAAUGCUUUUAAUAACCCCACAUCCCUUACAACAAAUUUUAUCUCUAAGCUUCUCAGGAUUGCAACAAACCACCUUGAUAAUCACAAGGUUUUGCUUUUCAUCAUAAAUCUGGUCUCGAAUUU
Molecule: long non-coding RNA, 423 nt
Filed under: Cucumis sativus (cucumber)
Lineage: Eukaryota; Viridiplantae; Streptophyta; Magnoliopsida; Cucurbitales; Cucurbitaceae
Description: long non-coding RNA (CSAT_LNC000153)
Source: RNAcentral